GCUGGGCAUGGUGGUGCGUACCUGUAAUCCCAGCAUCUUGGGAGGCUGAGGCAGGAGGAUUGUGAGUUCAAAUCCAGCCUCAACACAAGGGAGGUACUAAGCAAUUCAGUGAGACCCUGUCUCUA
RNAcentral lists this small RNA (125 nucleotides) under Marmota monax (woodchuck). The record is from RNAcentral. Lineage: Eukaryota; Metazoa; Chordata; Mammalia; Rodentia; Sciuridae.